This 878-nucleotide ribosomal RNA is filed under the name Parartemia minuta. RNAcentral's name for it is "eukaryotic LSU rRNA". It matches the Rfam family "Eukaryotic large subunit ribosomal RNA", at positions 666 to 1477 of the family's 3401-position model. Lineage: Eukaryota; Metazoa; Arthropoda; Branchiopoda; Anostraca; Branchipodidae. The record is from RNAcentral.
CCAAGGAGUCUAACAUGUGCGCGAGUCGUAGGUUGUCGAAGACCGAAGGCGGAAUGAAAGUGAAGGCAUCGCUUGUCGGUGCUGAGGGGAGAUCCCGCCUCCGUCUCGAUGGAGCGGGCGCAUCCCCGGGGCGUUCGCAAUCCCGUUGCGGAUGCGACGCACCAAGAGCGUGCAUGCUAGGACCCGAAAGAUGGUGACCUAUGCCUGGCCAGGUCGAAGUCAGGGGAAACCCUGAUGGAGGACCGAAGCGAUUCUGACGUGCAAAUCGAUCGUCGGAGCUUGGUAUAGGGGCGAAAGACUAAUCGAACCAUCUAGUAGCUGGUUCCCCCCGAAGUUUCCCUCAGGAUAGCUGGGACUCGAACCAAGGAGACGGAGUUUCAUCCGGUAAAGCGAAUGAUUAGAGGCCUUGGGGUCGAAACGACCUCAACCUAUUCUCAAACUUUCAAUGGGUGAGAAGCUCAGGCUUCCUUGAUAUGCGGCAAUGACUUGAGAAUCCGAGUGCCAAGUGGGCCACUUUUGGUAAGCACAACUGGCGCUGUGGGAUGAACCAAACGUUGGGUUAAGGCGCCUAAACAACGCAUAUUUCGGAUCCCACAAAAAGGAGUUGGUUGCUAAAUACAACAGGACGGUGGCCAUGGAGGUCGGAACCCGCUUAGAGUGUGUAACAACUCACCUGCCGAAGCAACUAGCCCUUAAAAUGGGAGGCGCUAUAGCUUUGUGCUUAUACCGGACCGCCGGACAUAUAGCUUUUCAACCCUUGAGGUUGCGCUACACGCCGGGACAGGAGGUCGCACCGGUGAGCGUAGAAAGGUUUGGGCGUGAGCCUGCCUGGAGACGCCGUUGGCGCAAAUCUUGGUGGUAGUACCAAAUCUCAGAGG